UGGGGAAUUUUGGACGAAUUGGGCGAAAGCCUGAUCCAGCAAUGCCGCGUGUGUGAAGAAGGCCUUCGGGUUGUAAAGCACUUUUUGUCCGGAAAGAAAUCCUUGGCUCUAAUACAGUCGGGGGAUGACGGUACCGGAAGAAUAAGCACCGGCUAACUACGUGCCAGCAGCCGCGGUAAUACGUAGGGUGCAAGCGUUAAUCGGAAUUACUGGGCGUAAAGCGUGCGCAGGCGGUUUGCUAAGACCGAUGUGAAAUCCCCGGGCUCAACCUGGGAACUGCAUUGGUGACUGGCAGGCUAGAGUAUGGCAGAGGGGGGUAGAAUUCCACGUGUAGCAGUGAAAUGCGUAGAGAUGUGGAGGAAUACCGAUGGCGAAGGCAGCCCCCUGGG
Molecule: ribosomal RNA, 389 nt
Filed under: uncultured bacterium
Lineage: Bacteria
Description: partial 16S ribosomal RNA
Rfam family: Bacterial small subunit ribosomal RNA
Source: RNAcentral